Rana temporaria (common frog) is the source of this 1012-nucleotide long non-coding RNA. RefSeq lists it as uncharacterized. Lineage: Eukaryota; Metazoa; Chordata; Amphibia; Anura; Ranidae. The record is from RefSeq and is a predicted model, not a curated record. The transcript is spliced from 2 exons.
GGUACACACGGCGCGUCGGCGCCACGCAUCCCGCCCAGCCUGGGACGUCAGUCCUGACGUCACUACACUGAGCGUGUGUUUCCCAUCUCAGCUGAGGUUGCCAGGACUAUAGGGUGGACGCUGUGGGCGGUUCCCGCCCGCGGCGACACCCUCCUACGGCGUACCUCUAGCCCUCGUGACGCUGACGGCACGUUGGCGUGCACAGCUGUGAGGCGGCUAUUUAAAGGUCCUCCCUGUAAAUCCCAAUGUCUAUGAGCUGUAACAAGCUAUACCACAGUAUCUCUCCUGCUGGUUCUCCGGGAAUUUUGGACGCCUCUACUAGGUUAUUAUACCUAUCCAUUUAUUUGGGCUGGUUGUCCUUCGUUCUCUUAUAUUUAUUAAUUGUCUGUUAUUACUAUUAUUACUAUAGAUCCCAGCUGGCUAUUCCUAUUGGUUUUUGCUCUUGCUGUAUAUUCCAUACAUGCUCAACCCUAUGAUAUUUGCUGUGGGAGGAUUCCUUGCUGCUCCUUCUUGUGUGCGCUUUACUGCCGCCUCAGCUCCCGAGACGGACAUAUCCCUUUGGCCGUGGCUCCAUGUAUACCGCAUUCACUUAUUUUUGAUUCCAUAUAAGCCAAGCAUCUGCCCCUGAAGAGUGUGACACACACGAAACGCGUCGGGCCAAUACGGAUGCUAUAUAUUUUAUUACAAUAUUCUAAUUGAUCUGAUCAUAUUUAUACAUGCUUUUACCAGUCGUUUUUACCUUUACAUAUUCGCCUAGACUGUUACCUUGACAUCUGUACAUAUGUAUAUUCACCCCAUGCACUCAUUUAUCCAUGCGGAUGAUCAUGUGACAUCCGGUCAAGCAUUGUUGUAUCUCUGCUACCCCCAUUGUAUCUGCACAUAUUAUGUGCUCUAAUAUGAGGUAAUGUCAUUUAUAUCUGAAAUGUAUGUAUUUCAUUUACACGACCUCUGGAUGUUGAUAGGUGUUUUGCAAAUGUGUGACCAAUAAAUCUGUACGUUUUUUACUACCCGC